UACGUAGGGGGCGAGCGUUGUCCGGAUUUAUUGGGCGUAAAGAGCUCGUAGGCGGUUUGUUGCGUCGGCUGUGAAAUCCCGAGGCUCAACCUCGGGUCUGCAGUCGAUACGAGCAAACUAGAGUGUUGCAGGGGAGACUGGAAUUCCUGGUGUAGCGGUGAAAUGCGCAGAUAUCAGGAGGGAACACCGGUGGCGAAGGCGGGUCUCUGGGCAACAACUGACGCUGGAGGAGCGAAAGCGUGGGGAGCGAACAGG
RNAcentral lists this ribosomal RNA (255 nucleotides) under uncultured bacterium. Its description in RNAcentral is "partial 16S ribosomal RNA". It matches the Rfam family "Bacterial small subunit ribosomal RNA", at positions 524 to 776 of the family's 1533-position model. The record is from RNAcentral.